This is a long non-coding RNA of Drosophila sechellia, 1294 nucleotides long. RefSeq lists it as uncharacterized. The transcript is spliced from 4 exons. Lineage: Eukaryota; Metazoa; Arthropoda; Insecta; Diptera; Drosophilidae. The record is from RefSeq and is a predicted model, not a curated record.
GGUCGUUCAUCUCGAGUUGUAAUUGCGCCGUAGUUGCAAACUCUAUUUCAUCAGUAUUUUCGUGUUCGAUCAAACGAAGAAUAAGAUCCUCUCUGCUUCCAAACGUGGAAAGACCUCGUUCCCGCAGAAGACGCUUCAAGUGCUUCACUCGUAAUUCUUAAGUUUUCGUAAUUUUCCUUUUUUUGUUACUGCGCAGUUCCACUGGAGUCACGAAAGAACAAUAAACGAAUUUCACAUAUGGUGCAUAACAAAUGGCUUUCAUCGUAAGUUAUGCCACUUCUGAAAAUUUUUAUUCGUAAGGAACACACGUAUUGCUUGAUUCGUUAUAUACGUUGGCCUGCAAGGACUUUGAACAGAUCGUGGCGCGUCGUUUCCUUUCGAGAUCUUGGAUAUGCUCAGGGCGGUUAGUGAGGAGUCUUAAAACUCCCCACAAAUCCGGGUGCACGGGAGCGUCCUAGCAUCAGCGAAGAGGGCUGGAAUGCAAGAAGAGUCAAGGGCCGUGUCCGAGUCCGAGCGGGCCGUGCGCAAAAGGGGAAAUAACGUGAUCCCCGCGGCCUAUAAAGAAAAUACGCAAGCGCAUGCCCCCAUAACAUUCUAAGCCCAUUCCAAGCAUGUGGUAUGUUGUCAAGGACGACGCGGGAUAACGAAGGAAAGACGACGAAGGAGUAACGCCGCGCGGCAGACGGCGAGGGCUGUAGGAGUCCAUUGUCGAAGUAGUCUGACAAUAAAGCUAUUCUUGUCUGAAACUCUGUCUUCUCCUUGUUUGAGCAAUCACACAAAUCAUAAAUUUCGUGGGACAAACACACAAACUCACCGAGCUAGCCGCUGCAACUCCAGAACCAGGAAAACAUAGCAAAUAGUAUCGCAUAACGGAAAAUCAUGCCCGAGGAACACAAGAGCAGGACAGGAAAAUUAAAGCAAAGUCCUUCGUGACUGCAUUUUCCUCUAAAUGAGCCAACUGGCUUCAAAAAUCACUUCAAAUUAUAAAACUUGGUCCAAGGCAAAAUCGUCACAAAAUCACCAGUUCCCGGUUAUACUGAGGAAAGUAUUAUCCACAACGAUAUAUUUUUUUAACCAAUUUUGCAGCUAAUAAAUCUUUUCCCUAACAUGAAAACUCUUUACUUUGACAAUGAAGGCUGAAUGAACUCGGAAGCCAUACGAGUCAUCCUAAAAAAUAGGUUCAGUGUACAGGUCUCGAUUUCGCCUUCUUUGCACGGCACAUCUAAUGGCCAAGUUCAGAGAUUUUAUACCACCAUAGCAGUGUUGGCUCAAUAAAUAAUCCUUUAAGAUGAAA